AACGAACGCUGGCGGCAUGCCUAACACAUGCAAGUCGAACGAGACCUUCGGGUCUAGUGGCGCGCGGGUGCGUUACGCGUGGGAAACUUCCUCUAGGUUCGGAAUCACCAAGAGGAAUUUGAUCUAAUACCGGAUGAUGUCUUCGGACCAAAGAUUUAUCGCCCUUAGAUGGGCCCGCGUUUGAUUAGCUAGUUGGUGGGGAAAAGGCCUACCACGGCGACGAUACAUAGCUGGUCUGAGAGGAUGAUCAGCCACACUGAGACUGAGACACGGCCCAGACUCCUACGGGAGGCAGCAGUGGGGAAUAUUGGACAAUGGGCGAGAGUGUGAGCGAGAAAUGCCGCGUGAGUGAUGAAGGUAUGAGGGUUGUAAAGCUCUUUUAGCCGAGAUGAUAAUGACAGUAGCGGGAGAAUAAGCACCGGCUAACUCCGUG
RNAcentral lists this ribosomal RNA (433 nucleotides) under uncultured bacterium. RNAcentral's name for it is "partial 16S ribosomal RNA". It matches the Rfam family "Bacterial small subunit ribosomal RNA", at positions 29 to 507 of the family's 1533-position model. The record is from RNAcentral.